RNAcentral lists this unclassified non-coding RNA (345 nucleotides) under fungal sp. RNAcentral's name for it is "partial internal transcribed spacer region". The stretch from base 1 to 46 matches the Rfam family "Eukaryotic small subunit ribosomal RNA", at positions 1786 to 1831 of the family's 1831-position model. Lineage: Eukaryota; Fungi. The record is from RNAcentral.
AAGUCGUAACAAGGUUUCCGUAGGUGAACCUGCGGAAGGAUCAUUAACACUUUUUCAAAAAGGUUUUUCUUUUAAGAAAAACUUAUUCUACCCACCUUUUGGAUGAACUUUUUUUGAUGGAGAUAUGACAAUAUUUUGUUGUUAUAUUCUUUAUCAAAUUUUUUCAUUAUUUCAAACUUUUUAACCCCAAAAAACCAAUUUAUUUACAAAUUGCUAUAUCUUGAAAAAGCCUAACAUGUGUGUGGGUUUGUGUUGGUGUGAUCAAUGCAAAUUGAUCACCACCAAUCACUCAAGAAAUCCUAAAAACUAAGAAAACAACUCUUAACAACGGAUAUCUUGGCUCUC